This is a long non-coding RNA of Oryctolagus cuniculus (rabbit), 2316 nucleotides long. Lineage: Eukaryota; Metazoa; Chordata; Mammalia; Lagomorpha; Leporidae. The record is from Ensembl.
GUAUUCUCCUACUGCUCUCGUCUUAGCCAUCUCCGAAGUGGACGACAACCAAAUCGGCAAAUUUAGUUUUUAUACGAAGGAAGCCAUCCUUAAGGUAACUUACAAAUUUUUUUUUUUUGAAAAUAAACUCAAAUAAGGCAGUCUAUUCAUAUGUGCUUUUAAAAAUCAUAUUUAAUUCAUAGAAAUAUGACUCCCGUAUUUAAGAAAGGCUUCAUUUCAUAAAUAGUGAUGAUGGCCUUGCUUUAUUUGAUGUCCCAGUGCCCUGAGAAGCGCAUGUGCUGAACCAUUCUUGCGUCACAUUUUUUAAACCUACACUUGUUACUGGAGUUGUUUAGUUGAGUUUUUUAAGCCUGGUACUGUGUUUUUUUUUUUUCCCUGCCACUCAGAUUUAUUUGAUUUUAUUUAUUUAUUUAUUUUUUCAACGUUGAUCUAGUCUCAGCUUCUAAGAGCUGGCUACCGAGCACCUGUUUGCUAGUUCCUAAGACCCUGCUCCGUUCCUGAUCAUCGGGAAAACCAGAUGGAGCAAAUCAGAGCAAAGCAGGCCUGGUGGUGGCUGCUUUCCUAGACUAAAAUGCUUCCUACGGAGGGGUAAGACCCAGCCUUAUGGCUGAGUAGCCAGGAUCCCAGUGUAUCCUGCAGUUUGAUUCACAUAUUGACAUGUCGAGGGAGUGGCUGUCUCAACCCUUAACUUCACCUUUCCUUAUAGGAGAAAUUUGUAAACACUUGCACGUUUUCUUCCUUUAGCUCUUGUUCCAUUCUGGAGUGGAGAAUAUGCAGGUGACCCUGGCAUGCCAAGUUGCUCAGAAAAAUGCCCUGAUGGUGGCUGUCCGGCAGGCAUUCUUCUAUCACACUCCUCGAGGGCACUGUGCUGAGGCCAAGGAAGUAAGUUCCGAUCCGAGGACUCCCAGAAGAAGAAAUUCCAGAGCUGUCAGUGGCACGGAGAGUUUGUUGGUAUCCCCAACCCCAAAAGCCCCAGAUGUGCUCGCUCAUUCUUCAGAGAGAUUUCAGGCUUCCAAAAGGUACUUGGUGGGGGGGGAGGGGUACUGUUUCAAAUAGCAAAAGUGUCCUGUUUUAAGCCAACUAUAAUAUAAUGUUUAUAGUGGGCUUGAAGGAAUGUAGACUGAGUGGCUGGCAUGUGUUUACAACCUUAUAUGAAGACCUUGUGCAAACUCUGAGAAGGCUCAACUCCUUUUUUUUUUUUUUUUUUAAGAUUUAUUUAUUUAUUUGAAAGAGUUACACAGAGAGAGGCAGCGGCAGAGAGAGAGAGAGAGAGAGAGAGAGAGAGGGGUCUUCCAUCCAAUGGUUCACUCCCUAAUUGGCCAGAACGGCUGGAGCAGCCCCGAUCCGGAGCCAGGAGCCAGGAGCUUCUUCCGAUCUCCUACACGAGUGCAGGGGCCCAAGGGCUUGGGCCAUCUUCUACUGCUUUCCCAGGCCAUAGCAGAGAGCUGGAUUGGAAGUGGAGCAGCCAGGUCUCGAACUGGCACCCAUAUGGGAUGCCAGAGCUUAAGGCCAGGGCAUUAACCUGCUGAGCCACAGCGCCGGCCCCUCAACUCAUCUCAAUAUACUCCAGUCUGCAAAGAGAAGCCAGCAGUUCCUAACUUUACCUCUCUCCCUUUCCUCUUUCUCUUCCCUUCCUUCUUUCUUCCUCUCUGCAUAUUUUCCAAACUCCAAACAUGGCAGAGCACAAGGAAGAAGAGUUACAAGUCUCUACAGAUCUCCCAUAGCUAUCUUGAGAAGCACAGAACUGUCCUCCCUAGUCUAACAAAGGUUUUGUCUAUUAUAUGAUAGUAGAAUGGUGAGUUGGCAGAAAGUCAUGGUCUCUACAGAGAUACAUCUGUAAAUCAGGGGUGACCUAUUAUGUCUUGAUCUCUUUUAGAAAGAGAUAUUUGUAUUCCGGAGUAAUUCUGAGUAUCUUAUUGGGGCAUACCAAUGACAUUUUAAUUUAAUUCUGACAAGCUUAGAAUGAAAAAUAAUAACAGGGGCCAGCACUGUGGUGCAGCGGGUUAAAGCCCUGGCCUGAAGCGCCAGCAUCCCAUAUGGGAGCUGGUUCAAGUCCCAGCUGCUCCACUUCCUAUCCAGCUCUCUGCUAUGGCCUGGGAAAGCAGUGGAAGAUGGCCCAAGUGCUUGGGCCCCUGCACCCACAUGGGAGACCCAGAAGAAGCUCCUCACUCCUGGCAUCAGAUCAGCUCAGCUCUGGCCGUUGCGGCCAUCUGGGGAGUGAACCAGUGGAUGGAAGACCUCUCUCUCUGUCUCUACCUGUCUCUGUAAUUCUGUCUUUCAAAUAAAUAAAAUAAAUCUUUAAAAAAAAAAGAAAAA